GCAAACUUGGUCAUUUAGAGGAAGUAAAAGUCGUAACAAGGUUUCCGUAGGUGAACCUGCGGAAGGAUCAUUAUUGAAUACUCGAUGGGUUGUAGCUGGCUCCUCGGAGCAUGUGCACGCCUGUCUUGACUCUAUUCAUCCACCUGUGCACCUAUUGUAGUCUCAUUUGAGGGGUCAUCGGUCGCAAGGCCGGAUGUGAGGGAUGCAGCGUGAAAGCGUAGCUCCCUUCUGAAGUUGGCCCUUCGGUGGACUAUGUCUUUAUUCACAAACCAUGUAGUAUGUUGCAGAAUGUAUUCAAUGGGCCAUCGUGCCUAUAAAACCUUAUACAACUUUCAGCAACGGAUCUCUUGGCUCUCGCAUCGAUGAAGAACGCAGC
This 376-nucleotide unclassified non-coding RNA is filed under the name uncultured fungus. RNAcentral's name for it is "partial contains small subunit ribosomal RNA, internal transcribed spacer 1, and 5.8S ribosomal RNA". The stretch from base 1 to 73 matches the Rfam family "Eukaryotic small subunit ribosomal RNA", at positions 1759 to 1831 of the family's 1831-position model. Lineage: Eukaryota; Fungi. The record is from RNAcentral.